GGACGAACGCUGGCGGCGUGCUUAACACAUGCAAGUCGAGCGGUAAGGCCCUUUCGGGGGUACGACGAGCGGCGAACGGGUGAGUAACACGUGGGUGACCUGCCCUUAGCUCUGGGAUAAGCCUGGGAAACGUGGGUCUAAUACCGGAUAUGACUCCAUGACGCAUGUUGUGGGGUGGAAAGCCUUGUGCGGCUAGGGAUGGGCCCGCGGCCUAUCAGCUUGUUGGUGGGGUGAUGGCCUACCAAGGCGACGACGGGUAGCCGGCCUGAGAGGGCGACCGGCCACACUGGGACUGAGACACGGCCCAGACUCCUACGGGAGGGCAGCAGUGGGGAACGUCUUGCGCAAUGGGCGAAAGCCUGACGCAGCGACGCCGCGUGAGGGAUGACGGCCU
Molecule: ribosomal RNA, 394 nt
Filed under: uncultured bacterium
Lineage: Bacteria
Description: bacterial SSU rRNA
Rfam family: Bacterial small subunit ribosomal RNA
Source: RNAcentral